AGAAAAAACUCUUCUCCCAUCUUCACAUCAUCAACCAUUUUCUUCAACACCAUACCAUCAUCUUGAAACAACACCAUAUCAUAGUAAGGAAAGAAAAAGCAUAGAGUGAUGGGAUGAAAAUAUUGAAUCAAACGCAUAAUCAUCACCUUCAUCUUCAGUCAUCAUUUAACAACAUUGUCAUACCCUAAAUUUUACCCUGAGUUUUUUUUUAAUCUGCAUCAAUAUAUCACGAACAUUUCAUUUGAUCAUGCAUUUUAUCAGUUAAAAUCAUUCAUCGGGGUUUAAAUGAAAAGUCGGGAGUUCUGACAUUUUUAUAUGGUCUUGAUGACAUUCAUUCAAUUAUCUGUUGAUUUAGAAGUCAAAAGACUUUUCUUCUCAGUCUCAAUGCACCGUCUAUUCCAUUGCAUCAUGUUUCAGAGGUCCAAAGGGUGAUGGUCGAGAGUAAUGUUGUCUUCUGAAUCUUUAUAGGGUUUUGAUUAUGACUAAAAAUUAGAAAAAAAGAGUCCAAGAGUUGAUUACUUUGCAUCUGAUUAGCUAGUUACAAUUUCUCAAUAAGUAAAUUAGUGCAUUCACCAGACAUCCUGCAUUAUUUACUCAUCACAACAUGCAUUUCGUCCUAUAUAAUGUUUGAAAUGUCAAUUAGAAUAAAAUUUUGGAUAUACAAACAGACCAGUUGAAUCAAUUUUUAAAUGUACGUAGAAUUAGCGGGCAAAAAAUUUCAAAAUCGAGCUUGCAAACGUCAGUAUUAUUAAUCUACGAUCCACAUUUAACUUGGCGUGCUUGUUUUAUUUUUUUGACUACUUUUUCAGUCGCAUUUUGAUUAGCCUGAGCCAUUUUAACUGGUAAAUUUUUACAUCAAAAUUCUAUCAAAACCUGUUUUUUUUUCCAGAAGUUUAUUUCACAUUAAUCACUUUAAUGCAUUCAUUUUAAUUUUUCGAGCAUUUUUACGCCCGAUUUUUAUUCAAGUUUAAUCCUUUUAUUUUUAUUUUUUGUCAAAAUGAUCAGUGUAUUUAAUUAGGAUUAUUUGGGUAAUAAUAUUUAAUUUAUUUUGUUUGCUUUAAUUAUUUUUAUUUUUUGCAUUAAAAAUAAAUUAAGAGAAUGAAGGAAAUAACAAAAAAAUAAAAUAUCUCCCUCCCUCACCAAUAAGAGAAGAACACGUGACACCUCCUCACUCAGCUCCCACCUUAAAAAAAGAAGAUAAUUUGUUAAAAAUGAUAAAAGAGGAAAGAGUGAAAUAGAAAAGUGGAAAACACGAAUACUUGUUUUCUUCAUUUUACAUACUACAUACACAAUAAUAAAAAAAACACAACCUUGCCCUUUUUCUUCUUCAUCAAAAAUCACUUUCCAGAAGACUACAUCUUCUUCUUUUCAUCCCAUUAACUCCAUUCAUCACAAAUAAAAACCAUCUCUAUCACAACCACAAAGUACCGACAUCCACCACCAUGUAAACACCUCGAAAUCUCCAUCCAUCAACUUGCCUUCAACACAUUAAUACUCCCUCUUCAACAACAACUUGAAUCUCUUCUUCCUCCCAUAACACCCAUCUCUUCUUUAUCAACUUGUAUUCCACACUCAACAUCACAACACAAGCAUCAACAACACCAUAAUACACUUUUUUUCUCCAACCUUCUACAACACACCACCUCUUCAUUCUCACACCAUCACAACAACCAAAUAACAACACAACAUCAAACUACAACAACAGAAUGUUAAACAACAACACAAAAUUUUCACUACCACCACCAUCGAACCUCUUCUCCUUCACUCACUUUUCUAACAUAACCUAUAACUCUCUCAGUUUUAUCCCUGUUGCAUCACCUCAAGCUCCAAAUUGCCGCCAAGGUUGUUAUUGUGUUCUAUUUUUGUCAGAUUUUAUUGUUGCCUUAUUUAUGUUUUUAUUUGUUGGUUUUUUUGUAACAAUGGAGAACGAGUGAGAGAGCAGAGAUAAUGGGUUAAAAAUGAGAGGGACGAAUGAGUAUGAAGCGGCGUCGUCGCC
This 1996-nucleotide long non-coding RNA is filed under the name Lathyrus oleraceus (garden pea). Its description in RNAcentral is "Pisum sativum (pea) long non-coding RNA (PSAT_LNC029650)". Lineage: Eukaryota; Viridiplantae; Streptophyta; Magnoliopsida; Fabales; Fabaceae. The record is from RNAcentral.